CCUACGUGCUGGCAGCAGUGGGGAAUAUUGGACAAUGGGCGAAAGCCUGAUCCAGCCAUGCCGCGUGUGUGAAGAAGGCCUUCGGGUUGUAAAGCACUUUCAGUGGGGAAGAAAGCCUUGGGGCUAAUACCCUCGAGGAAGGACAUCACCCACAGAAGAAGCACCGGCUAACUCCGUGCCAGCAGCCGCGGUAAUACGGAGGGUGCGAGCGUUAAUCGGAAUUACUGGGCGUAAAGCGCGCGUAGGCGGUCUGAUAAGCCGGUUGUGAAAGCCCCGGGCUCAACCUGGGAACGGCAUCCGGAACUGUCAGGCUAGAGUGCAGGAGAGGAAGGUAGAAUUCCCGGUGUAGCGGUGAAAUGCGUAGAGAUCGGGAGGAAUACCAGUGGCGAAGGCGGCCUUCUGGACUGACACUGACGCUGAGGUGCGAAAGCGUGGGUAGCAAACAGGAUUAGAUACCCGGGUAGUC
This 466-nucleotide ribosomal RNA is filed under the name Vreelandella stevensii. Its description in RNAcentral is "partial 16S ribosomal RNA". It matches the Rfam family "Bacterial small subunit ribosomal RNA", at positions 338 to 795 of the family's 1533-position model. The record is from RNAcentral. Lineage: Bacteria; Pseudomonadati; Pseudomonadota; Gammaproteobacteria; Oceanospirillales; Halomonadaceae.